Molecule: transfer RNA, 57 nt
Filed under: Crenidorsum turpiniae
Lineage: Eukaryota; Metazoa; Arthropoda; Insecta; Hemiptera; Aleyrodidae
Description: tRNA-Ser
Source: RNAcentral
AAGUCCCCCGAGCCGCAGCUUCUAACUGCGGCAGAGUAUAUAAAAUACUGGGAUUUU